AUAUCAAAAUUAUUAUAUUCUUUACAUCCUAAAGAUAUAAUGUAUAAAACAAACUCAUUUAAUUCAUCAGAAUUAUUUUCAUUGUCGUCUUCACCAUCUGUGCUAACACCAAAACAACUUCAACCAUCAUUAGCAUUAUCUUCUUUAUCAUUUACAUUACUUUCUUCUUCUUCUUCUUCUUCUUCUUGUUUAUCCACAAAUAAUAUACGAAAAAUGGACUUCCCAGUAGUACAAGCAAAUUAUAACGACCACAAUACCAAUGAAUGUUCAAAUAAUACAAUAGAAUUUGAAAAAUGCAAUAAAUAUAGUUCGAAUAAAAAAAGGACCGAAUUAACUCAGAAUGAGCGGACCAAAGUAAAUCAUAAUAAAGAGAAUGACAAAAAUACAGAAUUUAUUAAGCUAAAAAAAGGAACAAAUAAUCGCAUGUCAUUUAUAAAAACAUUUAAAGAGAACGGGUAUAAUACAACUGUAGUUAACAACGAAUCAGAAAAUAAUGACUUAAAAAAGGAACUAACCUACAUAAGUGAAAACAAAAAAAAGUUAAUAAAUUUUAAUUUUACUAACAAUAUACACAAUUCUACCAUAAAAUAUGAUAAUAUAUCCAUUUCGUUAGAUAAUGACAAUGACAAUAACAAUGGCAAUAACAAUAGCAAUGACAACGAAAAUGACAACGAAAAUGACAUUGACGAAAAUAUACAUCUUGAUAUACAUACAAAUGUUAAUAAAGUUAAAAACCUUUUUUUUUUAAUAAAAAAAUUAAAGCAUGAGAUAUUCCAUUUAGAAGAAACUGAUUAUGAACAAUUUUAUAAUUUAAGACUGCUUUUCAAAUAUUUAAAACAAAUAAUUUAUCGAUUUAAAAAAAACAAUUGUUUAUUUUUAUUUGUGAAAGAAAAAAAAUUGAUCAAUGUAAUUAAUGACAUUCAAGAAAUAGUUAACGAAAAAAAAGAAAGUUUGUCCAUAAAAAAAAAAAAUGAAAACCAUUUAAUUAAUUUGUCUUUGUCAUGUCUAAAAAAUAUACAGAAAAAGCUAAACGAAUUUAUGAAUUUAUUUUUACAAAAUUCUAAUGAUAUAUAUCAUAUAGUAAGCGAUAGUAGUAGAAAUAAUAACUUAGCAACGUUGGAUUAUGCUCAAAAUAUUGAAAAUGGUAGUAAUAAUAGUUUUUUAUUAGGAACUAAAAAUAGCGUCCUGAUAAAACAAAAUACAAAAGAAUAUAGUAUGAAUAAUAAUAAAUAUUUCACGGAUAAUAAAGAAUCCAAUUGUGUUACUAGUAUUAGUAAUUCCAUAAACAAAUUAUAUUAUACUAAUAAUGAACAUAACAUAGAUGAAACCAAAAGAUUAGAUGAUUUAAAUUGUUACUUAAAUAGUAUCAUAACCAUAUAUAAAGAUGCAAAUUUGAUAAAAAAUAUGCCAAAUAUUCAUUUAAAGAUAAUGAAAAAAUAUAAUCAAGAAUUGUCUUUACUGAAUGAGGUGAAAAAUAAUGAAAAAUAUAAUAAUGUUAAUAGUGUUUGUUUAAAUGACGAAACGGAUAUUCAAAGUUUUGCCAUUUUAUUAGAUUAUGAAAUUGAAAAAAGUGAAUACAACCUGAAAUCUUUAAAUCAAAAUACCAAUUAUGAGAUUAGUAAUAGUAAUAGCAAUUUAAAGAAAGAUCAAAUUAAGAAUAGUAAUAAACAAGUUAUAAACGACUAUUUUGCACUUCAACAAAAUAAGAACAUAAAUUUUCAUACGUAUCAUCCAUAUAAUGAAACCAUUAAUAAUGAUUACAAAUCUUAUUUGGCAGAAAAUGAUGUUAAUAAUAUAUAUUAUCACAAUUUUAGUGAUAAAAAUUUAUCUAGUAUUAUACUUUCUUCACAUGAAAUUGUUUUUACCAACAAACAAAAUUAAGCAGUAGUGAGAAUAACCCAACUGAAUAUUAUCAAAAUGAAGAUAAAAAAAAAAAAAAAAAAAAAAAAACACAGUAUUUUGAAAUCUAUUUACG
Molecule: long non-coding RNA, 1975 nt
Organism: Piliocolobus tephrosceles (Ugandan red Colobus)
Lineage: Eukaryota; Metazoa; Chordata; Mammalia; Primates; Cercopithecidae
Source: Ensembl